GGGGAAUAUUGGACAAUGGGCGAAAGCCUGAUCCAGCAAUACCGCGUGUGUGAAGAAGGCCUUAGGGUUGUAAAGCACUUUCAAUUGGGAGGAAAACCUACCGGUCAAUACCCGGUAGCUUGACAUUACCUUUAGAAGAAGCACCGGCUAACUCCGUGCCAGCAGCCGCGGUAAUACGGAGGGUGCGAGCGUUAAUCGGAAUUACUGGGCGUAAAGCGUGCGUAGGCGGUUCGUUAAGUCAGAUGUGAAAGCCCUGGGCUCAACCUGGGAACGGCAUUUGAAACUGGCGGACUAGAGUUUAGUAGAGGGGAGUGGAAUUCUCGGUGUAGCAGUGAAAUGCGUAGAUAUCGAGAGGAACACCAGUGGCGAAGGCGAGUCUCUGGACGAUUCCUGACGCUGAGGCACGAAAGCUAGGGGAGCAAACA
Molecule: ribosomal RNA, 425 nt
Filed under: uncultured Methylobacter sp.
Lineage: Bacteria; Pseudomonadati; Pseudomonadota; Gammaproteobacteria; Methylococcales; Methylococcaceae
Description: bacterial SSU rRNA
Rfam family: Bacterial small subunit ribosomal RNA
Source: RNAcentral